UACGAAGGGGGCUAGCGUUGUUCGGAAUUACUGGGCGUAAAGCGCACGUAGGCGGCCAUUUAAGUCAGGGGUGAAAUCCCAGAGCUCAACUCUGGAACUGCCUUUGAUACUGGGUGUCUUGAGUAUGGAAGAGGUGAGUGGAAUUCCGAGUGUAGAGGUGAAAUUCGUAGAUAUUCGGAGGAACACCAGUGGCGAAGGCGGCUCACUGGUCCAUUACUGACGCUGAGGUGCGAAAGCGUGGGGAGCAAACAGG
Molecule: ribosomal RNA, 253 nt
Filed under: uncultured bacterium
Lineage: Bacteria
Description: partial 16S ribosomal RNA
Rfam family: Bacterial small subunit ribosomal RNA
Source: RNAcentral